CUUACCAUCACCGGAAAAAGACUCAGCUUCGUUUCUCUUGUUUUUCCUCAUUUUUUCUCUUGUGAGAUUAUCUGAUAUUUGUUGUAGAUAAGGUUUAUAAGUUCCUAGUUGUGCGGUUGUUUCUCAUGAUGUUGUACGCUGUUUUGGUCAAUAUUAAUCCUCUUCUUCCUUAUAUUUGGCUAAUUUUAGGAACUACAUCUCCUUGGGUUGGGUCAGACUUUAGUUGUAUUUUAUGUUGUCUUCCUCGUAGUUGGCUUGCCGUUGAAAGUCUCUGCUCGUCUUGGUUUUCAAAAUCUCGUUUUUGGUGAUCUGAUUUUUAUGUUCUCUUCAUAAUUCGAGGCUGGCUCCACAGUUUGCUGAUUUUGUCCAGUCUCUUUUUCUCUUUUUGUUCUUCAUCUUGUUGCACUUUUCAUUGCUGGUUGCGUCUCUGGUGGCUCUCCAUUUCGCCAUGUUUGCCACUCCAGGUUUGAAUAGUAUUUUCAUUUGUGUAUGUUUUGUGGGCUUGGAAGAUUUCUUGUCUCAACCUUGAGCUUUGGUUUCUCUGUGGUUAGCUUCCAUUCUUCCUCCUUUAGGUUGUAUUUCUUCUUCUUAUACUUCCCUUGGUAUAUGUGCGUGGAGUUAAUCUCUUGGAGCUUUCGUCUCUUCUAUUCAGAGCUUUGUGGUUCUUCAUUGGCUUGGCGCCUUGUGUGUGGUUGUUUUGUUUGUGAGGUGCUUCUUAUCUCUUAACUAGUGGUUGUGCUUUAGGCAUGUGUUUUCCUGCUUCGUGGUAACUUUGGUCUUCCGGUGAUUAUUCUUCCUCUGAUCCGCUUUUUUGGUUUUUUGGAGUUGUCUUUGAUCGCGUUCAUU
This 846-nucleotide long non-coding RNA is filed under the name Brassica rapa (field mustard). Its description in RNAcentral is "long non-coding RNA (BRAP_LNC007574)". Lineage: Eukaryota; Viridiplantae; Streptophyta; Magnoliopsida; Brassicales; Brassicaceae. The record is from RNAcentral.